GCCAGCAGAGAGAGACAGGCCAGCAGAGAGAGACAGGCCAGCAGAGAGAGACAGACCAGCUGACAGAGAAAAGCUAGCAGACGGACCAGCAGACGGACCAGCAGACAGAGACAGACCACAAGUUAGGCUUCCCCAGCUGCAAGGGAGGCGCCGGCGCGUUCAACAGCCUGGUCAGAGGGGGGGGACUAAGAUUAAACCACCCCUAGUGAAGUUGUACCACAAAGCAACUGUGACCAGGAAGAGAGUCCAGGGCCUAGAGACAGAUAUCAUCCUCCGAGCACAAACACAUAUAAAGUCACGACCGCAACCUGACUAUGACAACACAGUCCACUGUGCUCUGCCCCCUGGCGUGAUCAGCGGAAGGAACCAUCUGGUUGAAGGGAUUGACAGAGUGGGGGAGGGUGAAAGAAAGGGGGAGAGAGAGGGUGAAGAGGUGGGUGUGAGUGAGUCUUUAUGGAGUCUGGGGUCGAGACUCUGAAGAGGAGGAGGGGCUGGCUUAUGACUCCACGCCUCCACCGGUGUUUGACCCUGAGGUAAACUGGGCUCAGACAUUCCAGGUGACCCCUGUUAACCUCCAGGCGAUGUGUUCUGAUUGGAUAGACCUCCGCUGUAACGUGUCUGGUAACCUGCUGCUCCGCCCUAGUGAUGCUCUGCCUGUCGUCAAGGCCUUCAUGGACAAACUAAACCACAGACACAACGGGUGUGUGUGUGUGUGUGUGUGUGUACAGUAUAUGUGUGUGUGGAAGUUUGUGUUAACCCUGUCCCUCCCUAGGCAUUUCUCCCUGGUGCGUGUGCUGAAUGUUGAGAGGAAAGUGGAUGGGGUUCAGGGCAGCAGGUACUUCCUGGAGCUGGAGCUAAGGGACAUAACUGGCCAACACCUUCGUCUGACACACUACAUCUAUGCUCUGAUUCGCCAUAAUCGAUCUCGCCCCAGGGGACUCCUUCGCCCUGCCCCUGAGACGUUGCUAUGCAAGCCUCUAGGCUUCCACUGGAACCCGACUGCCACUGUACACUUCAUAGUACCAGUAAAGAACCAGGCCCGCUGGGUGCAGCAGCUGAUAGUUGACAUGGAGGGUCUGUUCCAGACCACUGGAGACCCCUACUUCAACCUCAUCAUCACUGACUACAACAGCACUGACAUGGAUAUAGAGGCAGCACUAAAGGCAUCCAUACUGCACAGGUACAAGUACGUGAAGCUGAGUGGAAACUUUGAGCGUUCCGCUGGUCUAUAGGCUGGCAUCGACCUCAUCACUGAUGAGCACAGUAUAGUGUUUCUGUGUGACCUUCACAUCCACUUCCCCCCUCCAUCAUCGACUCAGUCAGGAAACACUGUGUGGAGGGACACAUGGCCUUCGCCCCCAUCGUCAUGAGACUGGACUGUGGGGCUACGCCCAGGAAGCCCAGAGGUUACUGGGAGGCGAAUGGGUUUGGUCUGCUGGGGAUCUAUAAGUCUGACCUGGAUGCAGCAGGAGGCAUGAACACACACGACUUCACUGACCGCUGGGACGGAGAGGACUGGGAGCUGCUGGACAGGAUUCUGCCGAUUCUGUCGAGUCUUGAGGUGGAGCGUAUCUACCUGAGGAACUUCCUGCAUCACUAGCAUUCUAAACGUGGUAUGUGGAACCGGCGCACUCAACACAGCGGCACGUAACCCACAACAACACAGCCAAAUUGUACAACGAUGCAGCCGUAACCCACUACGACGCAGCCGUAACCCACUACGACGCAGCUGUAACUCACGACGACACAUCCGUGGCCACAAGGAAAUCAAGGAAACUGCCGCACUUUAAUGUCCCCACUCCUCGCAUCAGCCAUUUCCAUCUGUCGACUGGUUAACGAGAGGGCAGGACAGAGGAGAUUCCUGACACACCAUUGGGUGAUAUCUCCUGUCACUCAAACUGUUUGAGGGUGUGGUGAUUAUGGAAAACAGAACAUAGUACUAACUGUCCUGGAAGAAGACACUCCUGAACUAGUGCAGAGGUACUUCAAUCUUAACAUGGAGGUCCACAGUACUACUGGUUAGCCACACACACACACACACACACACACACACACACACACACACACACACACACACACACACCUUGUUAAAUAUCAGUGAUCACACAGUAUUUGUAUGUAAUCAGGGCCUUGCUUAUUUAUUGACAAUGACAGGAUGCACCAAUGUUACACUUUACUCUAACAGUGUAAUACUGUAUUUCAGUUUAAAACAUGGUUUUAUUAAUAUAAUUAAUUAAGAUGGGGAAAGAGGGAUGACUUCUGAUAGAAGUGACUAUUAUUCAGGCUUGGGGGGGCUUACUGUACUGGAUGGGGAUAUUUCCCUUAAAGCAAUGUGCAUUAUGAAGCCCUGUAUUCACCAGAGGGAUUGCCAGAGCUCUACUACUGACUCUUGGAUGUGACAUUGUGCCUAUUGUAUGUGUCCUUCAAAGCGCUGUCCAUUUAAUUUUCUAUGGAUUACACUUAAGAGGAUCCCGCACCCAAACGCUUUUGGAGAUAUUUUGAGCAAGUUAACCAUUUUUUAUGCAACACUGUGCCUUCUCUACAGCUCCCCCAAAAUGAGAAAACUUUUGUAAUUGGAAAGUACAACCUGAACAUGUCAGUUAAAAAUGCAAAAUGUUGUUUUCUAUUUCACAAUAAGAUUAGGAGUAUCACAGGACCUUGUAUAUACAGUUGAAGUGGGAAGUUUACAUACACAGGUUGGAGUCAUUAAAACUCGUUUUUCAAACACUCCACAAAUUUUGGCAAGUC
This is a long non-coding RNA of Salmo salar (Atlantic salmon), 2748 nucleotides long. RefSeq annotates it as beta-1,4-N-acetylgalactosaminyltransferase 3. Lineage: Eukaryota; Metazoa; Chordata; Actinopteri; Salmoniformes; Salmonidae. The record is from RefSeq and is a predicted model, not a curated record.